CCCUCAUUUGAAAGCUGAAAAGGGUGAGAAGAAGGCAAAUAAUGCAAAAAUGAGAAGAAGAAAAAUUAAAGCUUACUGAAGAGUUGCUUAGACUUAGCUAUUCUGUAACAUACUAAAUGUUAACUGAAAGAAGAAUAAAUGGAGAGCAGAAUAGCAAAUUGAAUAAAGCAUGAGGAUGAAGGGAGGAGAAAUGGAGGGCGAUCUGAUCAGUGAGAUUGGGAAAGAAAAGCAAAAUGGAGGAGAGAAGAUAUGAAGUAGGGGAAGGAAGUUUGGGGCAGGGACAGCAGUCAUUUGUCACUGUUCCAUUAUCUACACUUAACUCAUAGUGUGGGGAUCAGGUAGGAUGGAGGGAAACUGAAAUUCACCCUUUGGACUAUUCAUUCUUCAUGUGGCUGAGCUCUGGCCUUAAAGCAGAGGUGGCUCAGAACUGACAGCAACUUUCAUUGAAACUACUUUGGUCAUCACCAAUGAAAAUAGACGGUGUGAUUGACAACAGUCCUAGCCAAUGGUAGUGCCAUGUUUGGAUGCUUCUUAAUUCAAGUCCCAUUCCUGUGACGUCUUAACAAAGCCCAAAAACAAGAUGCAGUGAAGAAGAAGCAUACAUGUUUUAGGUUAGUGUCAGGGAAGGGUAAAACAGGGAUAUAGCAGGGGAAAAACUAUUUUUGAUAUUGAUGAUAGGUGCCUAUAAAAAGAUAGCUGCAGAUGUUGUCUUUCCUUUAAUGUUCCACUUUGCAGUGCAAAAAGGAGGAGCCCGCAUGGUUGUCAGCUGUCCCUAAUUUACUGGUACAAAUCACCUUGUUCAUUUCAUUUUUACUGCUAUAUUCUAGAGAAUCUCUAUGUUUUUGUCUUGCUGAGAUACCCUGUGAUCAAGGACCCAAUGCAUAAAGCAAUGGGCCUGUUAAAAAAGUGUGAGUUUGGAAAGUCACGCUGUGGGUUCCUUAAAGAUUGCUUGAGCCCCUACGUGUUUUAUCAAACAGCACUGUGUAUGGUCAGUAAUUGUUAUUAAGGCUGCCCACUGCGCAUGUAUGAUGGGUUUAGGCAACAAAAUGCACACUUGAGUGUUUUAUGGUUAAAAUAUGCCCUUUGUCUUCUGUGACAGGCAGACGCCAUUCAUGUCACUUACUACACGCAUUGGGUGCUAUCUGCAAUUUUUCUGCUGACAUUAGUGUAACUAUAGCCUAAUGCAGGGCUGUCCAACUAGAGGCCAGAUGUGGCCCUCAGGCCGGAUUUUUAUGGCCCCCAAUCUGCUACAAUGCUCCAUAGACUUCACUGUAUGACAUCAUUAGUUCUCUUUAAAGGAGAAAGAAUGCAUCCCCGAUUGAUUGCAUAAACUUACCUGAAACCCCGAGCCGGUGCUCCUAUUAGUAGAAAACUGCAUUGGCCCCAGGUUCUUCCAGCAAGCAUCACAAAACGGCUUCUUCUUUCUCCUUUCGGCUGUGCAUGCGCAGUAUACAAACCAUGAAGAGUGAAAAGCCGAACUUUAGCUAAAAAGUCAUCUAUUCCGGUCUACUGCGCGUUUGUCUGCCCUGGGAAAUCUGAAGAAAUAAGAAGCUGGAAGAGGAUCGUUUUGCUGUGCUGGAAGUAACCCGGUCCGGUGCAGUUUUCUACCGAUAGGAGCACCGGCCAGGGGUUUCAGGUAAGUAUAUACAAACCCCUGGGGGGUGCCUAACAUUUGGCACCACCCAAGUAGAAGAAGACUUUCCUUCGCCUUCAAUCCGGUCCUUGAACAUGUUGUAUGAGCAAACACUGGCCCACUACAUGUAAUAAGUUGGACAGCACUAACCUAAGGUAUCUCCUUUCCCUCCAUGUUAUUUCUUAGAUUUGAAAAUCUGCUUAUACAGUGUUAUUGCAUGUGGCUAUUUACCUCUGUUCAUGUUGAUAUAAAUAUGAAUUUAUUGUUGUUUGCUGCACAAAGUGGCAGACCACAUUUACAGAACCUAAUAAUGUUGCCAAAUAAAUAUUUUUUUUAAAGACAAUCAUUGUUUGUUUUUUUACAGGUAUUUUAUCAAUAUUAAUAAAUUAUCACUUACAGCGGAAAGCAUGCUAUAGUGAGACCUGCAUACCAGAAUAAUUGAAUGAUGUUAUCUUGGCAGGAAAAGUAUGAAGCAUUUUAGCGUAAACCGCCAUGUGUGACGCUAGCCUAAGAGAAUGAAUUCUAAUUUAAAAAAAAAAAAAGUUUUGCAGUACAAUACAACUUUUUUGAUUUACUAAUACUAAUUUGCAGGUGUGUACUGUUUUUCAUGGUUUGUAUCUGUGUUCAUAUCGUUAGAGCUACAUUAGAUCAGCCGGAGCGUAAGAGCUGCCGCAAUAUCACAGACCGCAUUUUAUAUCCCUUUCUGUGUUAGAGACAAUAUUAAUAUGGUUCAUAAAAUAAUAGGAAGUGCUGAAAACAUUUUACUUUAUAAAGUCAUAAGAUUGCUUUCCUUCUCUUCUGUUUUUUUUUUUAUAUAUAUAUAUAUAUAUAUAUACCAAAAUGAAAAGGCACAGCCAACAGUGAGGUUAAACAGGGUAAUGUGAGCACUUGGUUUUUAGAAUAUUUCUCAUUCCAAUUUUUUUACUUCUGAAACUACCAGUGUCCAAUGCUGUUAUUGUACAUUAGCAAGCUCCGAACAGUGAGACCUUCACAAAAACAACACAUUUUAGAUAUGUAAAAGCAAGUUACAGCAUACGUACAUCAUAUUCUUCAUAUAUUAUACACAAUGACAUAGUUUCCUUACUCUUAUUAUCAUGUUAUCUCUAUAGUACUGGCAUAUCCUGCGGCACUUAACCGAGAAGGUUUAACAUUUGUUUGUCUUUGUCCAAGCGGAUCUUGCAGUCCAGUUGUCCUCACGCAGAUGCACCACUUAGGGCUGCAAUCGGAAAUCCGAUUUUUUCCUCAAGGCUCCAACAAUGACAGGGCCCCCUACUGCUGUUCCACCUGUACUAUUCUCAUGGCUGCCCUCCAUACACUAAGGUCAAUUGCCGAAGCUGAUCAGCCAGUCAGUAGGAUCUUGGAAUGUGGGAUUAACCAGAGCCUCCUGUGGAAAGCCACAAACA
Long non-coding RNA from Xenopus laevis (African clawed frog), 3036 nucleotides. RefSeq lists it as uncharacterized. The transcript has 2 exons. The record is from RefSeq and is a predicted model, not a curated record. NCBI's taxonomy places the organism in Eukaryota, Metazoa, Chordata, Amphibia, Anura, Pipidae.